RNAcentral lists this unclassified non-coding RNA (277 nucleotides) under Helotiales sp. RNAcentral describes it as "partial contains 5.8S ribosomal RNA, internal transcribed spacer 2, and large subunit ribosomal RNA". The stretch from base 1 to 71 matches the Rfam family "5.8S ribosomal RNA", at positions 84 to 154 of the family's 154-position model. Lineage: Eukaryota; Fungi; Ascomycota; Leotiomycetes; Helotiales. The record is from RNAcentral.
GUGAGUCAUCGAAUCUUUGAACGCACAUUGCGCCCCUUGGUAUUCCGAGGGGCAUGCCUGUUCGAGCGUCAUUAUAACCACUCAAGCCUCGGCUUGGUAUUGGGGUUCGCGGUCUCGCGGCCCUUAAAAUCAGUGGCGGUGCCAUCUGGCUCUAAGCGUAGUAAUUCUCUCGCUACAGGGUCCAGGUGGUUACUUGCCAAAACCCCCUAUUUUCUAUGGUUGACCUCGGAUCAGGUAGGGAUACCCGCUGAACUUAAGCAUAUCAAUAAGCGGAGGA